CCUACGGGAGGCAGCAGUAGGGGAUAUUGCACAAUGGGGGAAACCCUGAUGCAGCGACGCCGCGUGGGUGAUGAAGUAUUUCGGUAUGUAAAGCUCUAUCAGUAGGGAAGAAAAUGACAGUAUCUGACGAAUAAGCACCGGCUAACUACGUGCCAGCAGCCGCGGUAAUACGUAGGGGGCAAGCGUUACCCGGAAUUACUGGGCGUAAAGGGAGCGUAGACGGUGAUGUAAGUCUGGUGUGAAAGCCCGGGGCCCAACUCCGGGACUGCUUUGGAAACUGUGUAACUGGAGUACAGGAGGGGCAGGCGGAAUGCCUGGUGUAGGGGUGAAAUGCGUAGAGAUCAAGAGGAACACUGGCGGCGAAGGCGACCUGCUGGACUAAAACUGACGUUGAGGCUCGAAAGCGUGGGGAGCAAACAGGAUUAGAUACCCCAGUAGUC
RNAcentral lists this ribosomal RNA (440 nucleotides) under uncultured bacterium. RNAcentral describes it as "partial 16S ribosomal RNA". It matches the Rfam family "Bacterial small subunit ribosomal RNA", at positions 338 to 795 of the family's 1533-position model. The record is from RNAcentral.